This 438-nucleotide long non-coding RNA is filed under the name Phaseolus vulgaris (common bean). RNAcentral's name for it is "long non-coding RNA (PVUL_LNC002634)". Lineage: Eukaryota; Viridiplantae; Streptophyta; Magnoliopsida; Fabales; Fabaceae. The record is from RNAcentral.
AUGAUCAUGAGUGGUUUGUUGUAUAUUUAUUGUUCUAAGUGGAGUGAUGGGUUAAGGAAAGUGAAGAAGGGAUAAAGAAGCUUUUAAUUUAGCAGUAGGGACAAUGUGUUUUUCCUUUUUCUGGGUAUUGACAAAAGUUAGGAACAUUGGUAACUAAAGUGGAGCUACAUUCAGAUUUGGAUUUUGAAUGUUGGUGGUAUUCGUACGUGGUAAUGUUUGAGAAAGUUCUGAAAAAUUAGUUCAACAGAGCCCACACAUUCUCUGUUUACCCUUUAAGGAUGUCAUGUCAGAAUUCUAUAUUUCGAUUACCUCAUUUCAGUAAUAUAUUAAUCACAAUGCUAACAUAUGAUUAAAUCAUUAGUCUGAAGAGAAUAUUCUUCAAUAUUCUUGAGAUUAUAAUUGUUGGGAAUAGAAUUUUUUUUUUAAUAUUAAGAUGAG